Long non-coding RNA from Astatotilapia calliptera (eastern happy), 1569 nucleotides. The record is from Ensembl. NCBI's taxonomy places the organism in Eukaryota, Metazoa, Chordata, Actinopteri, Cichliformes, Cichlidae.
CAUUUUAGAGCAUUUUGAAUCGUUAGAAGAUUAAGUCAAAUAUCGGCAAUUUCAAAGGGCCAUUACUAUGAAAAGCAAAAUCAGAAUGACUUGAUAUUGAUAUGGUAACAUCGUGAGGUUGUAUACUGUUGAUCUAAAGUGGAAUUACCCUGUGGAAACAGGAAUUUUCCAUUUUAGAGCAUUUUGAAAUCACUGAAAGGUAGGUCAACUAUGGACAAUUUGAAAAGUCUUUUAUUUUGGAAGGCAUAAUCAGAAUGACUUGAUAUUGAUAUGGUGUCACUGUGGGGCUGUAUACUGUAAAUACAGAGUGGAAUUACCCUGUGGAAACAGGAAUUUUCCAUUUUAGAGCAUUUUGAAAUCACUGAAAGUUAGGUCAAUUGUGGACAAUUUGAAAGGGCUUUUAUUUUUGAAAGCAAAAUCAGAAUGACUUGAUAUUGAUAUGGUAUCACUGUGAGGUUGUAUACUAUUGAUCUAAAGUGGAAUUACCCUGUGGAAACAAGAAUUUUUCAUUUUAGAGCAUUUUGAAAUCACUGAAAGUUAGGUCAAUUAUGGACAAUUUGAAAAGGCUUUUAUUUUUGAAAGCAAAAUCAGAAUGACUUGAUAUUGAUAUGGUAUCACUGUGGGGCUGUAUACUGUAAAUACAGAGUGGAAUUAUCCUGUGGAAACAGGAAUUUUCCAUUUUAGAGCAUUUUGAAAUCACUGAAAGUUAGGUCAAUUGUGGACAAUUUGAAAGGGCUUUUAUUUUUGAAAGCAAAAUCAGAAUGACUUGAUAUUGAUAUGGUAUCACUGUGAGGUUGUAUACUAUUGAUCUAAAGUGGAAUUACCCUGUGGAAACAAGAAUUUUUCAUUUUAGAGCAUUUUGAAAUCACUGAAAGUUAGGUCAAUUAUGGACAAUUUGAAAAGGCUUUUAUUUUUGAAAGCAAAAUCAGAAUGACUUGAUAUUGAUAUGGUAUCACUGUGGGGCUGUAUACUGUAAAUACAGAGUGGAAUUAUCCUGUGGAAACAGGAAUUUUCCAUUUUAGAGCAUUUUGAAAUCACUGAAAGUUAGGUCAAUUGUGGACAAUUUGAAAGGGCUUUUAUUUUUGAAAACAAAAUCAGAAUGACUUGAUAUUGAUAUGGUAUCACUGUGGGGUUGUAUACUGUUGAUCUAAGGUGGAAUUACCCUGUGGAAACAGGAAUUUUCCAUUUUAGAGCAUUUUGAAAUCACUGAAAGGUAGGUCAACUAUGGACAAUUUGAAAAGUCUUUUAUUUUGGAAGGCAUAAUCAGAAUGACUUGAUAUUGAUAUGGUGUCACUGUGGGGUUGUAUACUGUUGAUCUAAGGUGGAAUUACCCUGUGGAAACAGGAAUUUUUCAUUUUAGAGCAUUUUGAAAUCACUGAAAGUUAGGUCAAUUAUGGACAAUUUGAAAGGGCUUUUAUUUUUGAAAGCAAAAUCAGAAUGACUUGAUAUUGAUAUGGUAUCACUGCGGGGUUGUAUACUGUUGAUCUAAAGUGGAAUUACCCUGUGGAAACAGGAAUUUUUCAUUUUAGAGCAUUUUGAAUCGUUAGGAGAUUAAGUCAAAUAUCGGCA